AGAGUUUGAUCCUGGCUCAGAUUGAUCGCUGGCGGCAGGCCUAACACAUGCUAGUCGAACGGCAACGACACUGGCUUGCAUGGGGUCCACCAGUGGCGAACGGGUGACUAACGCCUACGAAUCUCCCCAGUACUCGGGGGAUAUGCCAAGGUCAAACUUUGGGACUCACCCCAUACAAUCUAGGGUUCAAUGGGGGCGUCUAUUUCAGGCUUUCUCUAUUAAAUUAACCUGCCCACCAUCACCUGGUUGGUGGGGAAAUGGUCCAAUUAGGCCACGAUCUUUUCCUGGUAUCACAGGAGCAGCAACCACAUUGGACCGGACACUCUCUCCAGACUCCUACGGUAGACAUCAGUCUGAAAUAUUGAACAUUGGGCGAAACCCUGAUCGCUCCAUGCCCCUUGGGUCAUCAACGCCCUCGGGUUGUGAAUCGCUCUUGGUAUCGACCAAUGCUCAAUAUUCACUA
RNAcentral lists this ribosomal RNA (463 nucleotides) under uncultured bacterium. RNAcentral describes it as "bacterial SSU rRNA". It matches the Rfam family "Bacterial small subunit ribosomal RNA", at positions 8 to 465 of the family's 1533-position model. The record is from RNAcentral.